AUGCAGUUAUCCAGAAACCCAAAACAGUUUGGAGGGGUCCUUAACUAUAUGAUGCAUUACUUGUCGUCUGACGCUGUCAUGCACAGACACUUCUUAGGGUCACCCAGGACAGCAGGGAUUCAUCAGUGGAGGACUGGCGGAGCAGGACAGACCAUGGGAGAGUGGAGACUGCUUCAUAUAGCUGGGAAGAGAUGGAACCCAUUCACAGGUGGCUGUAAAUCUUAACCGCGGGCAGUUAUGCACCCACACCCUCACAGACAAGCAUGACACAGACAUGCCCACGGCAGCAGGAAACACACGAAGGCUCGCCAGGACUGCCAGGGAAGGCUCCCCAGAACUGAGACAACUCAGGGCCCCCUUGCAAUUGGCCGGCCGGCAGGGGGACCCACAGCCGGGCCGGGGAGAGAGGUGAGGACCAUGGAAUGGCUGACAUGACUUCUCAGGACACCGAUCACACAGUUUCUCUCUUGGUCCGCUUUGGUUUUGCUUUUGAAGCUUGGCUACAUUAUAUUCUUGAGUCACCUAAGUAGUCAGGGAAACCAUUAAAGAAAGAUCAGAAGCAUCAAAUACUCCUGGAGGGAGGACCGAGCACAGAUGGGAGCAGUGAGCGAUGAGGGGUAAUGAGGACAUGUAACGCAGCUGGAAGGAGUGAGGACAGAAAGUUAGAAGGAGUUCCAGCUCCUUCCUAUCACAAUAAAGGAGGCUAACCCCACGUCACCGAUCCCUUCUGUCAUCUCUCUCUGUACUGAAGUCUAAGCUCUGUCCAAAAAAGAACUCCACACGGUAUUCCAAGGUUCCUAAAAGUAAUCACAACCUACAGCAAUAGCCCUACUUUAAAUGAGGAUCUUUAUCUCCUGAAUCAGAGGCUAUUUUCUGGAAGUCCAGAGGGUUAUAUGGGAAUACAAAUCUUAGAGGACUGCAGCGAAGAGUUUUAGUAAAACAUCAAGUAUGCGGAUUUGAAUAAAAAUUUGUGCGAGUCCCUUCAAUGAGACUUCUUGGUACGAACUUUGAAAUAUUCCUUAGAAUCUCCAAGGAAUUCGGCAGCACGUUUCCUGUGACGGCUCUCUCCAGCCGGUGAGGAAGGCAGGCAGGAGGCAGGCCACAAAGCACAAACAACCUCAAAACACAGAUGGGCCAUUCAGAUUCUUUUCCCACCCACAAAACCCCUGACUUGCACCUACGUCCUCAAGAUGUGACUUUUACCGGUUAGAUUCACAUCAGUGUUCAUGCCGGUAUUAAAGCAGCUUUAGCAAUAUUUUUAAAAAGAGACAAUAUUAAUGCAAUAAACAUUUACAUACAUAUAUUAUAAAUUCAGCUCAACACAGUGACGUGGCAGGAAAGGUCUCUAAUUAAAAACAUGCUGUCUCUGAUUACAGAAAACACAAGGCCGAGGAAAUAUAAUAACCACCACAGAGAUGCUAUCACUUAAAUCUAGAAUAUGGGAAAGGCUACAAAACAACAACAACACAUCCCAGUAUCUUCAACCAGCAUAUGGCAAAGGAAAAAAAAAAAAGAACAAGAAAGAGAGGGAGCUGUUCUGGAUUAAAGGAGACUUGGGAGACAUGCCAAUUAAAUGUAAUGCAUAGGCCUUAUUUGAAUCUUGUUUUGAACAGUCCAAUUAUUAAAAAAAUUUUAUGAGAUAAAAAGAAUCUGGACGGUGACUAGAAAAUAGAUGAUAUUGUAAAUGUUAUUUUUUUAGGUGUACUAAUAAUAUAGUUAUUUUUAAAAAGCCCUAAUCUCUUCGAGUUAUUUUAAAUUAUUUAUGAACGAAAUAGUAUAGUGUUUAAAAUUUGCUUUAUAACAAUCCAUGUUUUGGGGGAAGAAGUAAGGUCUACAGAUGAAGCAAGCUUAGGAUCACAUAUGGAAGGUACGUGAGACUUCACUGUAUUAUUCUGUUAACUUUUGUGUACGCUUAAAAUUUUCCAUAAGAAAAUACUUAAAAGGUAAGAUGUAUGCAUUUUGAAAAUCAAUAUGAAUAAAAAUAUAUGAACAAAUAUUGACUUAAAAAUAACAC
This is a long non-coding RNA of Mustela putorius furo (domestic ferret), 2014 nucleotides long. The record is from Ensembl. Lineage: Eukaryota; Metazoa; Chordata; Mammalia; Carnivora; Mustelidae.